GACGUUGAUAGGCUGGGUGUGUAAGCGCAGCGAUGCGUUGAGCUAACCGGUACUAAUGAACCGUGAGGCUUAACCUUACAACGCCGAAG
This 89-nucleotide ribosomal RNA is filed under the name Klebsiella pneumoniae. Its description in RNAcentral is "partial 23S ribosomal RNA". The stretch from base 1 to 77 matches the Rfam family "Bacterial large subunit ribosomal RNA", at positions 2849 to 2925 of the family's 2925-position model. Lineage: Bacteria; Pseudomonadati; Pseudomonadota; Gammaproteobacteria; Enterobacterales; Enterobacteriaceae. The record is from RNAcentral.